Molecule: long non-coding RNA, 453 nt
Organism: Mya arenaria
Lineage: Eukaryota; Metazoa; Mollusca; Bivalvia; Myida; Myidae
Exons: 3
Source: RefSeq, a predicted model, not a curated record
AAGCCAUUCUAUAUUAUUAAUUAAGAAUCUGUCAAGCUGAAGUUUGUUAUUGUUUAUGCGCAUGUUUCUGCAACGGGCAUUGACCGACAAAUUCAUAUUAAAUAACUUAAAAGAGCUCGACAACCAAAACCCAAUUAAUCAAAUUACAACGCCAAGUUUCCAUUUAGUGUUUUAUUGGUUAAUAAGAAAAAUGCAGGCUGGCUUAUAUAGGCAUUUCACAAUUGAAACUAAGAAAUGAGAAAUAAAGCCAUAGAAUACAUUCAUACCACUCAAAUUCAGCCAGUCAGAAUGAUGGGAAGGAUUGCAGAACUGAGUUUCACUCUCACCUGACUGAUGCAGAUUCAGUAACCUAAUUGUAUGUACUUUUUUGUCAAAUUGUAUUUAUUUGCUCUAUUAAAAAUAUAAUGUUGACUUUUUUGAGGAAUAAUUUUGAAACGAAAAAUAAAUUAUUAU